CCCCUAGAUGUUCUGGGCCGCACGCGCGCUACACUGAACAGUUCAACAAGUCUUAACCUUGGCCGAUAGGUCUGGGUAAUCUUUGAACGCUGUUCGUGACUGGGAUAGACCUUUGCAAUUAUGGGUCUUCAACGAGGAAUUCCUAGUAAACGCAAGUCAUCAGCUUGCAUUGAUUACGUCCCUGCCCUUUGUACACACCGCCCGUCGCACCUACCGAUUGAAUGGUCCGGUGAAAUCUCGGGACGGCGGCUUGGACGCUUGCGUCCGACUGCUGAAACUUGAUUAAACCAUAUCAUUUAGAGGAAGGUGAAGUCGUAACA
RNAcentral lists this ribosomal RNA (320 nucleotides) under uncultured eukaryote. RNAcentral describes it as "partial 18S ribosomal RNA". It matches the Rfam family "Eukaryotic small subunit ribosomal RNA", at positions 1470 to 1796 of the family's 1831-position model. The record is from RNAcentral.